UACGAAGGGGGCUAGCGUUGUUCGGAAUCACUGGGCGUAAAGCGCACGUAGGCGGAUCUUUAAGUCAGAGGUGAAAUCCCUAGGCUCAACCUUGGAACUGCCUUUGAUACUGGGGAUCUUGAGUCCGGGAGAGGUGAGUGGAACUGCGAGUGUAGAGGUGAAAUUCGUAGAUAUUCGCAAGAACACCAGUGGCGAAGGCGGCUCACUGGCCCGGUACUGACGCUGAGGUGCGAAAGCGUGGGGAGCAAACAGG
Molecule: ribosomal RNA, 253 nt
Filed under: uncultured bacterium
Lineage: Bacteria
Description: partial 16S ribosomal RNA
Rfam family: Bacterial small subunit ribosomal RNA
Source: RNAcentral